Molecule: long non-coding RNA, 623 nt
Organism: Pieris brassicae (large cabbage white)
Lineage: Eukaryota; Metazoa; Arthropoda; Insecta; Lepidoptera; Pieridae
Exons: 2
Source: RefSeq, a predicted model, not a curated record
CCAUCACACAACACACCUCAAUUAAGUAUUACCUAGUUAAAUGUAUUUAAUAUGUUUUUUUCCAUAUUUGGAUAUAUCUUUCUCAUAGUUAGAAUGCGAAAUAAAUAAAUAUUAUUAAAGAAAUAGUAAUAAUGUGUGGAACAACGAUAAUGUAAAUCAUAUUACUUACGAAUACGGUAAUAAAAACUGUCAUAAAAAAUUACAGUGAGCAAAUGACUCAGAAUCAUGUCACCCUUAUCCAAAUAUCCGUAAAUUUUAAUUUCCUUCUGUUAUGUGGAACAGUCAUGGAUAUCAAGGAUGCUAUAUAAAUCUGCGCACGCGCAGGUUCGGUCACAUCGACGGCAAAAUGAAGUGGCUUGUGUUGUUGUGUGCUGUGAUGGCACUUUUGAUCUCUGCUAUGGCCCAGGACUACUACGACUAUACGAUCAAGUAUGCGGAAUUAGCAUCGCCAGUCCCCUCAAACAUCGACGUCGAUGAUCUGGUAGCGACACUCAGGGCAGCCAGCGACCAUAACUAAAUGAAUUUCGCCGUUCUCCCACUAUACAUUAUUGGAUCAAAAAUGAAUGAAAGCUUUGUAGGUUAAAUUGUUUAUUUAUUAAAGUGUGCAACGAGCUUUUGUCCGA